Molecule: RNase P RNA, 352 nt
Filed under: Desulfotalea sp.
Lineage: Bacteria; Pseudomonadati; Thermodesulfobacteriota; Desulfobulbia; Desulfobulbales; Desulfocapsaceae
Description: RNase P RNA component class A
Rfam family: Bacterial RNase P class A
About the family: Ribonuclease P (RNase P) is a ubiquitous endoribonuclease, found in archaea, bacteria and eukarya as well as chloroplasts and mitochondria. Its best characterised activity is the generation of mature 5'-ends of tRNAs by cleaving the 5'-leader elements of precursor-tRNAs.
Source: RNAcentral
UGGAGUGGGCGCAUGAUCGCUCCGGCUUAGGCCGGAGAGGAAAGUCCGGACUCUACAGGGCAGGGUGGUUCGUAACGCGAACCUCGGGUGACCGUGGGAAAGUGCCACAGAAAAUAGACCGCCUGUUAUGCAGGUAAGGGUGAAAAGGCGAGGUAAGAGCUCACCGCCUUCAUGGUGACAUGAAGGGCAUGGUAAACCCCACCCAGAGCAAGACCAAAUAGAGAGAUGUUUGAGGGCUGCCCGCCCGAAAUCUCCGGGUAGGUUGCAAGAGGUGUUGGGCAACCAACAUCCCAGUGAAAUGAUCAUGGCCCCGCAAGGGGUACAGAAUCCGGCUUAUAACCCACUCCAAUUU